UACGGAGGGGGCUAGCGUUGUUCGGAAUUACUGGGCGUAAAGGGCUCGUAGGCGGCCAACUAAGUCAGACGUGAAAUCCCUCGGCUUAACCGGGGAACUGCGUCUGAUACUGGUUGGCUUGAGUGUGGGAGAGGGAUGCGGAAUUCCAGGUGUAGCGGUGAAAUGCGUAGAUAUCAGGAGGAACACCGGUGGCGAAGGCGGGUCUCUGGGCCGAUACUGACACUGAGGAGCGAAAGCGUGGGGAGCGAACAGG
RNAcentral lists this ribosomal RNA (253 nucleotides) under uncultured bacterium. RNAcentral's name for it is "partial 16S ribosomal RNA". It matches the Rfam family "Bacterial small subunit ribosomal RNA", at positions 524 to 776 of the family's 1533-position model. The record is from RNAcentral.